Suricata suricatta (meerkat) is the source of this 1272-nucleotide long non-coding RNA. RefSeq lists it as uncharacterized. The record is from RefSeq and is a predicted model, not a curated record. The transcript is spliced from 3 exons. NCBI's taxonomy places the organism in Eukaryota, Metazoa, Chordata, Mammalia, Carnivora, Herpestidae.
CUGGACCACCUCAGGGCCACUUGCAGCGGGACUAUGGGUCCUGGCCGUUGUCUGGAUGCUGUCUGACAAAAUCAGGAAAGUUCACGGAAACUUGCAGAAUGAGAGUCCGCGGCUGGAAGGGCAUCGCAGGGACACCGGCAUCAGCCUUUGGGAAACGCCGCGUGGACGGUUUUCCCGAUGGAGCUGGAGGCCGUGGGAAGAGCACAGACACCGGAGCUCUGAGCCAGCUGCUUCCGAGCCUCGGGUGACCCACGGCCCAGCCCCCGCGCACCCACCCCUCCUCCUCGGGAAACCACCUCCAGAGACCCUAUGCCUUGCCUGGGGGAAACCAGCUCUUGGCUGGUGAGCUCCCCACGAGCACACUGAAGAGCCCAAGAUUGCCAUCACUCCCAGGCAGACUAUGCGCUGCCUGAGGACAGGCCUGGACCCCAGGCCCCACGUCUGUCACAGUCCCAGGACGUGGUUACUACCCAGAUACUACCGACACAGAAAGGAACGAUUUACUGGUUCCUUCUACGUCGAGGCGCACGGCGAAGGCCACAGUAGGAUAUGAAAUGACGAAGGAGAAUGAUUCCAGCCGCACGAGGUGCACACUAGCUUCCUGCCCAGGUGCUGUGCUGUGUGAUCGACGUGAAUUUAGUAACUGAAUCCUCACAAGAGUCUUAUGAAAGAAAUUCGGUUAUUACCCACGUACACAGGUGACGAAACGGAAGCUCAGAAGGUUAAAAGGAACUCUGACAUGGGCUGACAUGGUUCACCCAGAACGUCAAGUGCAGGCUUUUCCACGCGCACUGCGUCCGCCAGACUCGGGUUCACACCAGCACGGCCACUAAGGCAUGAAGAGCGUUAACAACGAUAAACCCUUCCAAACCCGAGAAAAUCCAAAGAGAAAUUCCAGCAGGAUUGUUUUAAAACUUGACAAGCUAUUUGUAAAGUUUAUAUGGAAGAAAAAUGAUAAGAAUCAUUUUUAAAAUAUUUUUUUGGGGGAAAAAGACUAAUAUAUGUGACUCUCUAUAAAAAAAUUAAAAACUGGAACAUGUAAUACAGGGUGGUGCUGGUAUAAGAAGAGAUGGAGAAGACUAAAGAAACAGAACAGCAUCCUGAAAUAGACUCUGGUAUGAAUAGGGAUUUAUUUUACUAUCAAGACAGAACUUCAAAUGACUUGCAGACAGAUGCUUAAAUAAAUGGUGUUGGGUGAACUGCCUAAAACUUUAGAAAGAAAUUAAGUUCCAUCCCUACCUUCCACUUCAUACAAAAAUCUGAUAUUUUAAG